Molecule: non-coding RNA, 586 nt
Organism: Podarcis lilfordi (Lilford's wall lizard)
Lineage: Eukaryota; Metazoa; Chordata; Lepidosauria; Squamata; Lacertidae
Source: the annotation of a GenBank genome assembly
GGAAGACACAAGAAUUGCCUACCCGAGAAGAAUGGCAGAGAAAAGUGAUAGACUAUAUGGAACUGGCUGAGAUGACUGGAAGAAUUCGAGAUCAAGAAGAAGGGUUGAUGGAAGAAGAUUGGAAAAAGUUUAAAAUAUAUUUACAGAAUCACUGUAACAUAAAAGAAUGUUAGGAAAGGUUGGAGAAGAAAUAUUAGACCGUAUUGGCAGACAGAGUAUAAUGGAAUUAAGUAAAUAUGAAGUGUAAAUUAAAGGAUAGAGGAGAAUUAAAUAUUUUUGAAUGUUAAAAUGUUAAAAUAAGUGAAUGGAAAGAAGGUUAGAAGGAUUUGCUGGAGAUACAAUUUGAAUUAGAAUACAAAGCAGAGAAGUGUGAGGAAGUCACGGAAAUAAGUAAAUGGGAAUACGGUUUGUUAAAUUUGAAUUCUUUUUUUUGUUAUUUUUUAUUGUGAUUUUUGGUCUUGUGUAUUUUUUCUUUUUUCUUUUUUUCCUUGUAUGGUGUGUAUCUUUUGUAAGAUGUAUGUCACUGGUUUUCUUGUUUUGUUUUUUCUUUUUUUUUUGUAAUCUUAAAACUUGAAUAAAUAUUCUU